This 19-nucleotide transfer RNA is filed under the name Anthoxanthum gracile. Its description in RNAcentral is "partial tRNA-Phe". The record is from RNAcentral. Lineage: Eukaryota; Viridiplantae; Streptophyta; Magnoliopsida; Poales; Poaceae.
GAAAAGGUCAGGAUAGCUC